Non-coding RNA from Equus caballus (horse), 2021 nucleotides. The record is from RefSeq and is a predicted model, not a curated record. Lineage: Eukaryota; Metazoa; Chordata; Mammalia; Perissodactyla; Equidae.
AAUGCAGGCGUCCUGACUGCGCUCGCGGUGGCGUCAGGGAGCAGGUUGAGCCUCAGUGGGAGUGUGGAGGCUUCAAGGAAAGAACAUGCUGGGUAAGAGCAAAAAGCCAAGUCUGGCUGAAGAGAACAGAGACACAAGAAGGAAAGGAAAGGACUGGGUCACGUGAGCCCUCUACACUAGGCUUCGUAACUCCAACUUUCUCAGGCAGGUAACUGAGCAGAGUGAGUGUGCAGGUGGUUUGUGCAUGUGCUGUUUAAGUGGGUUCACUCAGCACCCACCCAACUCACUUUCCCCUGCCUCCUACACUGUAAGGGUGAUAAAUAAAUGACAAGCAGUAGGCUAUAUUGGAGGAUAUGAGGAAGCCAUUUGGUUUGAAACUAAUUUGACCUGGCCUUGUUUUUCCAGAAAGGUCUGUUGAGCGUGCAUUGUACAUCUGCUUUAAACGCUUACAAUGUCCCAAAGAUAAGAACAAUGCCCUUAAAGAUAAGGAGGUAGCUUCCCCCUACAUCGGCAUUUCCUUUAAUAUGCAUCUCUCCCUAAACUAAGGAUUAAUUAUGGACCUCCUGUGCUCACCGUGUGACUACCCACCUUGUGACCACUGACCUACUGACCUCUGACCUGCUGGGCCAGCAAAGCAUCUCGCGAUAAUUGUAAAAGGGAUAUUCCUGCCAUAUAUGAUGGAUGCUCUUUGUUCCAAGACUGUGUAUAACCACUCGGUACACCCCACUUCUUUGGUGCCCUUCCUUCCUUGAGGGAGGAAGGCCCCAGGCUAGUCCUCAGACCUGACUCAUAAUAAAUUCACCCCAAUUUUGAUUUGUAGAUUGAUGUGGAUUAUUUGUGUCAAGGGGCUGAAAACAAAACUCUCAAAUUGCCAGCUUCCUUUGCUGCUAGGGUUGGCCAAUGAAAUGUGGGCUGGAGUUUCUGAGGAGGCCUUUCUUCUUGGAUAGAAAGGCCUUUGGCUUUUGCUCCUUCCUUUUUUUUGGGGGGGGGGGGCGGUCCUGGAACGUGGAUAUGAUGCCUUGGGACCUAGCAGCCAUUUUGUGACUUGGUCUGAGGUCAGAGGCACACACUAAGGACAAUAGAGAAGAAAAGGAACCUAGUUCCUUGAAGACAGGCUUAAGACAAAAUCCCUAAAGUAACUCCUCUGGACUUCUUAUGUGAGAAAAAUAAACUUUAGUCACUUUUCAGGUUUUUCGUUCUUGGAGUUAAGUGUAUCCGUAACAGUCACAGUGGUUAAGAACAGACUGUGGAGUCAGAAAGAUGCAGAAGCUGAUCAUUUAGGACUAAAAGAGGCCCAGAUUUUAUAUAAGAAAGGCAGAAAAAGGAAAGGCUGGCAGAAGGUUUCCGGAAUUGCUCACUAGGCUGCAAUAUUUACGUCGACCUCUAAAACUUCAUCAAUGCCACCCUCUUUACCUCCUUACUCUCCUUUAUUCAACAUAGUGAUAUGACCACAGCAACAGCACCAAAAAAGAUAAAGACUAAGGCUCCAGAUUUUCACUCCUAAGACAGGCUGCUUCUCUCUUGGCAUCGAGGGCUACAGCCUCAGCAUCGAACAGAGUCUGUUUCAUCUGUUUGAGGUCUUGAAUGUUUUCCUAUACACACAACAAAAAGGAUUUCCUGAAAGCUAACUUUCUUAGAGUUGGAAAAGACUUUAGAGAACACACACACAGAUGUCAUUCCUAACAAAUCAAAAAUGGUGAAAAUACGUUAAUCACCAAAUUUUUUUUAGGAUAGAUGAAAAGAAAUGACAUUUUCGAAAAUAAAAAUAUUUUUAAAAAUUCUGGUUAUCUUUUUCCAAAUUAUAAAAGCACUAUAUAGAAGUACUGUAAUUUAAGAAAUCUGUUAUUGUUUAAAAAAGAUUAACACAAUUGUUGUUCAGCUAGCCUGUUAAAGUUUCCUAUGUAUUUUUAAAUUAUUCUCUCCAAAACAUGACAGGUGAGCAAUUAAUAGUUAAAAUUAAGAAUAUUAAAUCACAAACUGAAAAAAAAAAGACAAACAAUCCAAAAGAAAAAGAGAGAAAA